Molecule: ribosomal RNA, 895 nt
Filed under: uncultured bacterium
Lineage: Bacteria
Description: bacterial SSU rRNA
Rfam family: Bacterial small subunit ribosomal RNA
Source: RNAcentral
AGAGUUUGAUCCUGGCUCAGGACGAACGCUGGCGGCGUGCUUAAUACAUGCAAGUCGAGCGCGAACAUUCCUUCGGGAAUGUUUGAGCGGCGGACGGGUGAGUAACGCGUGGGCAACCUGCCCUCUAGCCUGGGAUAACAGUUCGAAAGGACUGCUAACACCGGAUACUCUCUUAAGAAGGCAUCUUUUUAAGAGGAAAGUUUACACUAGAGGAUGGGCCCGCGUCCCAUUAGCUAGUUGGUGAGGUAACGGCCCACCAAGGCGACGAUGGGUAGCCGACCUGAGAGGGUGAACGGCCACACUGGGACUGAGACACGGCCCAGACUCCUACGGGAGGCAGCAGUAGGGAAUUUUCCGCAAUGGGCGAAAGCCUGACGGAGCAACGCCGCGUGAGGGAUGAAGGUUUUCGGAUCGUAAACCUCUGUCUUCAGGGACGAUAAUGACGGUACCUGAGGAGGAAGCCACGGCUAACUACGUGCCAGCAGCCGCAGUAAUACGUAGGUGGCAAGCGUUGUCCGGAAUUACUGGGCGUAAAGGGCGUGUAGGCGGCCUUUUAAGUCAGGCGUGAAAUCCAUGGGCUUAACCCAUGAAUUGCGUUUGAAACUGGAGGGCUUGAGGAUCGGAGAGGACAGUGGAAUUCCCAGUGUAGCGGUGAAAUGCGUAGAUAUUGGGAGGAACACCAGUGGCGAAGGCGACUGUCUGGACGACACCUGACGCUGAGGCGCGAAAGCUAGGGGAGCAAACGGGAUUAGAUACCCCGGUAGUCCUAGCCGUAAACGAUGGGUACUAGGUGUGGGAGGUAUCGACCCCUUCCGUGCCGCAGUUAACACAAUAAGUACCCCCGCCUGGGGAGUACGGCCGCAAGGUUGAAACUCAAAAUGAAUUGACGGGAAUC